Molecule: non-coding RNA, 76 nt
Organism: Ameiurus melas (black bullhead)
Lineage: Eukaryota; Metazoa; Chordata; Actinopteri; Siluriformes; Ictaluridae
Source: the annotation of a GenBank genome assembly
ACAGUUGUAGCUCAGUGGUUAACAUGUUGGACUAUUGAUCAAAAGGUUGUGAGUUCAAAUCCCCACACCACCAGGC